AUAAGCGGAGGAAAAGAAACCAACAGGGAUUGCCCUAGUAACGGCGAGUGAAGCGGCAACAGCUCAAAUUUGAAAUCUGGCUCUUUCAGAGUCCGAGUUGUAAUUUGCAGAGGGCGCUUUGGUGUUGGUAGCGGUCCAAGUUCUUUGGAACAGGACGUCACAGAGGGUGAGAAUCCCGUACGUGGUCGCUAACCCUCACCGUGUAAAGCCCCUUCGACGAGUCGAGUUGUUUGGGAAUGCAGCUCUAAAUGGGAGGUAAAUUUCUUCUAAAGCUAAAUACUGGCCAGAGACCGAUAGCGCACAAGUAGAGUGAUCGAAAGAUGAAAAGCACUUUGGAAAGAGAGUCAAAUAGCACGUGAAAUUGUUGAAAGGGAAGCGCUUGCAGCCAGACUUGCCUGUAGUUGCUUAUCCGGACUUUUGUCCGGUGCACUCUUCUGCGGGCAGGCCAGCAUCAGUUUGGGCGGUUGGAUAAAGGUCUCUGUCAUGUACCUCCUUUCGGGGAGGCCUUAUAGGGGAGACGACAUGCAACCAGCCCGGACUGAGGUCCGCGCAUCUGCUAGGAUGCUGGCGUAAUGGCUGUAAGCGGCCCGUCUUGAAACACGGACCAAGGAGUCUAACAUCUAUGCGAGUGUUUGGGUGUCAAGCCCAGACGCGUAAUGAAAGUGAACGGAGGUGGGAACCCUUUGGGUGCACCAUCGACCGAUCCUGAUGUCUUCGGAUGGAUUUGAGUAAGAGCAUGGCUGUUGGGACCCGAAAGAUGGUGAACUAUGCUUGAAUAGGGUGAAGCCAGAGGAAACUCUGGUGGAGGCUCGCAGCGGUUCUGACGUGCAAAUCGAUCGUCAAAUUUGGGCAUAGGGGCGAAAGACUAAUCG
RNAcentral lists this ribosomal RNA (872 nucleotides) under Phaeosphaeria brachylaenae. Its description in RNAcentral is "eukaryotic LSU rRNA". It matches the Rfam family "Eukaryotic large subunit ribosomal RNA", at positions 46 to 937 of the family's 3401-position model. Lineage: Eukaryota; Fungi; Ascomycota; Dothideomycetes; Pleosporales; Phaeosphaeriaceae. The record is from RNAcentral.